RNAcentral lists this long non-coding RNA (220 nucleotides) under Elaeis guineensis (African oil palm). RNAcentral describes it as "long non-coding RNA (EGUI_LNC024161)". Lineage: Eukaryota; Viridiplantae; Streptophyta; Magnoliopsida; Arecales; Arecaceae. The record is from RNAcentral.
UAGCCCAAUUAUUCAAAACAAACCCAAAUGAAAAAUGGAAUUAGAUCCUUAAAUAGGCUCCCAUAAUGAAUUUAUCUAAUUUAAAACACAUUUAUCACUUUAUUUCUCAAAAGAAAAAUAUUUAAUAGAUUAAUAUAUAAACCAACAAAAUAAUAUAUCAAAAUGUUGAGCGCAAACAAGAGUUAAAAAUAUGGUAAAGAACAUUCGAAAACUCCCUCCC